This 679-nucleotide unclassified non-coding RNA is filed under the name Hevea brasiliensis (rubber tree). Lineage: Eukaryota; Viridiplantae; Streptophyta; Magnoliopsida; Malpighiales; Euphorbiaceae. The record is from RNAcentral.
GCAGUAAACGUAGGCAUGGCUCUGCAUUAUCAACCAUCACAAUCAAAUUAACCAAAACAACUGAUCAGCAUGAGAAAGGGAGGAAAUUCAAAAGAGCCGUAACAAAGCAUAUGCAAAUGCAACCAUAUAAAUCAAAACAUGCCAGAUUAAACCACCUUAAUAAAGCUGCAAGAUAGCGAAUAUAAAAUAAAAAACUUAAGCAAUAAAAACUAAAACAAGUUAUAAGAAAAGACAAACAAAGCUACCACUGCACAAUACACCCGCUCCUGAAAUUUACAGAAUACUAGGUACACUAACAAAAAGUGCACCUCAUACUCACAAUAUUUCAAUUAUACCUCAAAAUAAGGAGAGAGGAUUCAAGCACAGCAAUGAAUAAUUUCUCUAGUCGCACCUUCCCCUAUUUCUAAAAGCCAAUAAAAUUUUGCUCAGAUUGAAAAUUUAGUGAUCUCUAGUACUCCGUAAUAAUAAUGAAGACCGCCUUGAAUCCAUAAUCUAGAACCAGAACAGAGACACAAAUUCCAUUAAUUGAUGAAAAAUUGGACAAAUUUGUUUUCUGAAGGGAGCUAAUGUUCCGUUCCUAGCAGAAAUAAAUUUUACCAAAAAAAUUAAAAAAAAAUUAUAUUCUACACAAAUUCUAACUCCAAAGAAAUAAAGAAAAAAAAAACAUGGUUCAAUGCUG